Molecule: ribosomal RNA, 467 nt
Filed under: uncultured Desulfocapsa sp.
Lineage: Bacteria; Pseudomonadati; Thermodesulfobacteriota; Desulfobulbia; Desulfobulbales; Desulfocapsaceae
Description: bacterial SSU rRNA
Rfam family: Bacterial small subunit ribosomal RNA
Source: RNAcentral
GGGGCCGCACAAGCGGUGGAGCAUGUUGGUUUAAUUCGAUGAUACGACGAAGAACCUUACCGGGGUUUGACAUGCAGGUGAUCGCCGUUGAAAGACGGUUUCCUCUUCGGAGGCACCUGCACAGGUGCUGCAUGGCUGUCGUCAGCUCGUGUCGUGAGAUGUUGGGUUAAGUCCCGCAACGAGCGCAACCCUUGUCUUUAGUUGCCAUCAUUCAGUUGGGCACUCUAAAGAGACUGCCGGUGUCAAACCGGAGGAAGGUGGGGAUGACGUCAAGUCCUCAUGGCCUUUAUGACCAGGGCUACACACGUACUACAAUGGCCGGUACAAAGGGCAGCCACUUAGCGAUAAGGAGCCAAUCCCGUAAAGCCGGUCUCAGUCCGGAUUGGAGUCUGCAACUCGACUCCAUGAAGUUGGAAUCGCUAGUAAUCGCAGAUCAGCACGCUGCGGUGAAUACGUUCCCGGGCCUU